Acanthosepion pharaonis is the source of this 98-nucleotide non-coding RNA. The record is from the annotation of a GenBank genome assembly. Lineage: Eukaryota; Metazoa; Mollusca; Cephalopoda; Sepiida; Sepiidae.
AGGAUUACAACAGUUCCUAUAUGAUCACCAAAGUUAAGCAAUGUUGAGCCUGGUCAGUACCUAGAUAGGGAACCACUUGGGAAUACCAGGUGCUGUAA